GAUUGGUUACCUUUGUUACGACUUCGUCCCAGUCACCGGCCCUGCCCUCGGCGGUUGGCCCCUUCCGGUUACCUCCCCGACUUCAGGCGUGACCCGCUCCCAUGACGUGACGGGCGGUGUGUACAAGGCCCGGGAACGUAUUCACCGCACUAUGGCUGACGCAGCGGUUACUAGCAACUCCGACUUCAUGCAGGCGGGUUGCAGCCUGCAAUCCGAACUACGAUGGGCUUUCGGGAUUGGCUCCACCUCGCGGCUUCGCAACCCAUUGUGCCCACCAUUGUAGCGUGUGUGUAGCCCUGGAUAUCAAGGCCAUGCUGACUUGACGUCAUCCCCACCUUCCUCCCGUUUCUACGGGCAGUCCCGCCAGACACCUGUAACUGGCAGCAGGGGUUGCGCUCGUUUGCGGACUUAACCGAACAUCUACGACACGAGCUGACACAGCCAUGCAGACCUGUACCGUUCCGAANGUCGGCCGUUUCGUUCCUACUCGGGAUGUAACCCAGUAANG
RNAcentral lists this ribosomal RNA (508 nucleotides) under uncultured bacterium. Its description in RNAcentral is "partial 16S ribosomal RNA". The record is from RNAcentral.